This 430-nucleotide ribosomal RNA is filed under the name uncultured Achromobacter sp. Its description in RNAcentral is "bacterial SSU rRNA". It matches the Rfam family "Bacterial small subunit ribosomal RNA", at positions 958 to 1392 of the family's 1533-position model. The record is from RNAcentral. Lineage: Bacteria; Pseudomonadati; Pseudomonadota; Betaproteobacteria; Burkholderiales; Alcaligenaceae.
AACGCGAAGAACCUUACCUACCCUUGACAUGUCUGGAAUUCCGAAGAGAUUUGGAAGUGCUCGCAAGAGAACUGGAACACAGGUGCUGCAUGGCUGUCGUCAGCUCGUGUCGUGAGAUGUUGGGUUAAGUCCCGCAACGAGCGCAACCCUUGUCAUUAGUUGCUACGAAAGGGCACUCUAAUGAGACUGCCGGUGACAAACCGGAGGAAGGUGGGGAUGACGUCAAGUCCUCAUGGCCCUUAUGGGUAGGGCUUCACACGUCAUACAAUGGUCGGGACAGAGGGUCGCCAACCCGCGAGGGGGAGCCAAUCCCGGAAACCCGAUCGUAGUCCGGAUCGCAGUCUGCAACUCGACUGCGUGAAGUCGGAAUCGCUAGUAAUCGCGGAUCAGCAUGUCGCGGUGAAUACGUUCCCGGGUCUUGUACACACCG